RNAcentral lists this long non-coding RNA (1916 nucleotides) under Homo sapiens (human). RNAcentral describes it as "non-protein coding RFPL1S:20". Lineage: Eukaryota; Metazoa; Chordata; Mammalia; Primates; Hominidae. The record is from RNAcentral.
GGCCUCCUGCGCGAAGCGCGCCAGCGCGCGGGCCGCCGCCUCGGCCUCCUCUCGCUGCCGGGCCUCGUCGUCUAGGCGCUGGCGCACGUGCGCGAUGUCCUCGAGCAGGUGCUCCUGCUCCAGGCGUAGCUGACCGCGCGCCGCGCCCAGGCGCAGCACCGCGCCGCGCAUCUCGCGGACCUCGCGCUCGUACAGCUCGCCCAUAGCGGAGCGGCCCGCCUGCUGCUGCCGCAGCGCCGCAGCCUCGCCCUCCAGGCUGCGGUUGUGCGCCUCCAGCUGCCGCACCUUGUCGAUGUACCCGGCGAAGCGGUCGUUCAGCGCCUGCAGCUGCUCCUUCUCACUGCGUGAGGUGGCCACCGCCACCAUGCAGCCCUCCGGCCCGUUGCUCAGCGUGUCCAGCGAGUCGGUGCUUGAGGCGGCGCCUGCGCCACGGAAGCGGCUGGGCGAGGCGGACACGGAGCUCACGGACGUCCGUGUCCACGAGUGGAAGCCGCUGGAGGAGCCAGCGGCGGAGCGCGUCCCGCCUGCGCCACCCUUUCGGGCUAGCGCGUAGUGGAGGCUGCCGCCGCCAUGCAGCGGCGCGAACGGGGCGCCCAGCAGCGCGUCCGCGCCGCCGAAGCUCAUCAUGGCCUGAGCAGUGGGGGCUUAUUUGGCCUCCCCAGGAUGGACUGGAGCAUCAGUAGUGCCCGGGUUUAUCACAGGACAGAUACUCAAGACACUCUUAUCACCAUUAGGUGGACUUGGAGGAGCAAAAAACAAGUGCAGUGGCUCCUCAGCAGAGACACUCCUGAAUGUAUAGACAUGGGAACCACCUUCAGCAUCAAAAAAGGAAACGUUCUGCAUGCCCAUAUCCAGAAAAAUCCCCACUCGCUGUAACUUGCGGUCUACGAAGAGGAAAGUCAGCGGCACCGUGCUGGCAGAGAGGCGGCUUCCAUCCCUCAAACUCACAGUCCAGAAUCCACGCUCUGUGGUCAGAUGGAUCCUCCCUUUGCGGUGAACAGAUUCUCUGCAGACUCCCAGGUCCCAUUCUGUGCUUGUUCCCACGUCCACCUCCCAGUAGUGGCGGCCACAGGUAAAGCGAGGGGAGCCCAGGAUGCAAAUGGACACGUCAAAUCUCUCGGCAAGGUCUUGCCGAUUCUGUGUGAUGCACCCACUUCGGACGCUCCUGAGGUCGUCAGAAAUGAGGAGGAAGUUGUUGGCUGUGUCGGCAUCCAAGGUCAUAUCCACUGUGAAAAGGAAAAAAAGUUGAUCAGAAAAUGGACAGAAGCCAACCCCAUGCCUCUCCUCUACUUCAAAGGCCCAAAUAUCUCUUGACUUUGGUUUCUUUAAUUCUCUUCUUCCCCCAAAAUCAAAACUUUUCAUGAGGCAACUUCCCUGACUAGUUCAAAUUCUCAUAGGUAUGCUUUGUGGCAAUACCCAACUCUUAUUCACAGUAGCAAUUAUUUUACUUUAUGUCACGUGUUUGCUUCAUUGGACUUUUCUUCAUUUAGAGUGGAGGGUCUCUGAAGGCAGACACCAUGACCCCCUUUCUACCACCUUGAUGCAUGAAAAAAUGAAUGAUAAUUAAGACAAUGCAAAUGGUCGAUGUUAAAUAUGUUUCUGCUUCCAUCUUGUAUUGCUCAACUCAGUAUAUAGAGCAUGAUUCCAGGCCUUUGUUUUCCAUGUUUGUAAGCAAAUUAAUUGUGCAUGGUUCUGACAGCAGGUAGGGUAUCUCUGCAGCUGACAAUGUGAUGACAGAGGUGCCGGUCCUGGACAUUAGGAGGCUCCAAGGCCAGGAGGAAGAGGGGGGCCUUAGAUGAAAGAAUGUUUUCCAUCCUACAUGGGAGGUGAAACCUUAAGCAAAACAAUGGUAAAUUUUGGAGUGAAGAGAAAGGUAUUUGAAAGUUGUUUGUUGGCUGAGCGCGGUGGCUCACACC